CUUCCAGUAGCACCUUAGAGACCUACUAAGUUAGUUAUUGGUAUGAGCUUUCGUGUGCAUGCACACUUUAUGAACGUUCAUACCAAUAACUAACUUAGUUGGUUUCUAAGGUGCUACUGGAAA
Podarcis lilfordi (Lilford's wall lizard) is the source of this 123-nucleotide non-coding RNA. NCBI's taxonomy places the organism in Eukaryota, Metazoa, Chordata, Lepidosauria, Squamata, Lacertidae. The record is from the annotation of a GenBank genome assembly.